Molecule: RNA transcript, 3685 nt
Organism: Tribolium castaneum (red flour beetle)
Lineage: Eukaryota; Metazoa; Arthropoda; Insecta; Coleoptera; Tenebrionidae
Exons: 3
Source: RefSeq, a predicted model, not a curated record
AAGCCAGUAGAUAUACUAAAGUAGCGACACGGACCUUGACAGGGCAACAAUAACGAUUAUAUACUCUAGAGAGGGCGCAACUAUCGAAAUUCGACAUAUACCGCAUUAUUUACAUAAAAUGCCUAGCCUUGAAAAGCCUUAGUAAGUGCGUUUUGUCUCUGUUUCUACGUUUAAUCUUCACUAAAUGAAAUUGCUAAAGGGGAUGCUCUAAAGAGAUAUUCGUUAAAGGUCACAUUAGAUGAUAGAUUUAAAUUGAGAAUGUAUUUAAACAAGCAGUUUAGUUUUCCAAGGCUCGACAUUUUUUGUAAUAACGCUGUAAUUUUAAAGGUUCGUCAAAUUGUCAGUAAUUUUGAACAUACGUCAAAACUGUCAAGAUUCUCUCACUUUUGAAAAAUUGGUAAAGAGUACAAUGAUUCUGGUGUUCAUCUGUAGUUUUACUGUGGUUAUUGGUUAUGAACAGAUUCCAUGGAACUUUCAAACCUGUGCUUCAAUCACGUAAAUAAUAAAUCGACACCAAAAACAUUAAACAAAGGAGCCUCCAGACUGUUCAAAGUCGUCCACAUUACGAAGCACGUCUGUGUAAUAAUACUAGAAACUCAUUCAAACAAAAUUUGAUUAAGAAAUGUAAAGUGUAUUUCAGGUAGAUUUAAACAAUACGUCCUUGAAAAUUCAUUCUAAAUUAUUAGAUUCCGCCCUAAUGGGAAAGAAUUUAAGACCGCUCUGCUUACACUGACCUUCGUUUCAGAAAAUUUAAUGCAUCUAAAUCUGGGAAUUGUAGCGCAUCGAAGUUUGGUGGACUUUUUAUAGCCACUUAUUUACAGCAACUAUGUUAUACAAAAUUUAAAUAAUAAAGAGAAAUUCAGGUUGUAUUAUUUCUAUUUCUUAAGUAAUAUCGAGGUGUAAACCGUACCCCAAAUUUUGUACACCUGUGAUUUAAUCAUGAUUCCUUCUGAUUUUUCCCUAAAUUUUUAAAGUGAUUUCCUUAAAAUUUCUUGAUUUACUCAAUUUUGUACACUGAUUUCCUCUGCGGUUUACCUCUCGGGUAAUAUUGAAAACACUUACUUUUAUUAUUGCGAAAAAUGUCUUGGUUUCAUAGCAGUUGUUAAUAGUGUUGAGGGAAAAAAUUAAAUUUAAUUAAAAAAAAAUAAAUCGACCAAUUUAAAAUCUUGGAGUAAUUAAAUACGAUAAACUGUAAAAACACUUAGAGAGGAGUUUAUUAAAAUUAGAAAUGUAAGUAUCACAAUUUUUUUAAAUCAAACAAUUAUUAUUUUGAAACGUGUUUUUGGCUUUUUCGUUAAAUACAAAGUUCAAAUUCUUUUAAGGAAUGAAUUCACUGUUGAAGCGCCAGCACCUUCUUCGAAAUGUCCAUAAGAGUUGCUGUAUUCUGCGCAUUCUAAAAGCCUUUCUCAUUGCAAUGUUCAGUUGAAUUUAGGGACGAUCUGAUUUAUUUUUACGUGAGUGAAGCACAAGUUUGAAGGUUUCAUGGUAUCUGUACACAUAAACUGUAAUAACCAGGGUGAAAUUAUAGACGAUCACCGAAUUUAUUGUUCUGAUUCACCAAUUUUUCAAACGUGAAAAAAUCUUGACAUUUUUGACGUACGUUUUUGAAUUUUGAUAGUGGAGCCAUCUGUAGAGUGUAUAAUCGUUAUUGUUGCCCUGUCAAGGUCCGUGUCGCUACUUUAGUAUAUCUACUGGCUUUGAUCAUGGUCAGUGUGAUGAAUGAUACGGUCAGUAAGAAGGCGCCACUGUCGCGUCACUCACCCGACUUGCACACGUAAUUUUCAUUUUCUCCGCCAAUCCGAUUAAAAACGAAACUGCACAGCCAAGUUAAAAACUCCCAGAGACAAAAACGAACAUCACGCCUUGUCUCUAAAUUACUCUUUAUUUAUCUAAGUACGUGCCUGGAGCAGGUCGCAUUGGAACCCCAUAAAAUCCCGAGUACAAGUUUUAAUGUUCCUUUCAGUUGUUUGACUCCAAGGAAUCCCCCAUAAAGUACAUCGUUUAUAAUCGAAAUAUACGAGAUAGGUGCAAUAUAAAAUGAUCAUUUUAUUUCUUUAUUAAGUCGGACGUUCCCUCGAGUUCGGAAACAGAUCGAAGUCGUUUUUUUAUCAUGGUUAAUGUCCCAGUGUGGUCUUUUAAAUCGAGCAUUAAACUUUUCGGACCGAAUGGAACUUGCCGGACCACACUGAAACAUUAAUUUUUGCGCCGCCCAAAGGGCCGAUACAAAUUAUUUCGAUUUGGGAUCGAGAGUUUUCAGCCGUGGCUUGCCGCCGGCUCAAUUAAUUUGGAAAUCAAUAACAGUCCACUGUUGUACACAUUUUUGCUAAAGAGAACUAACGCGUUGCAAACAAAACGUCAAUGAUGUCCACGCUAGUUUUACGGUUUGAAAUAUAUAACUCUUAAGGAAAAAAUUACCAAAUACGCCGAGGCCGCUCAGCGACCCUUAAAAAAUCCCAUCAAUUUUCCCAAUCGGCCCCUAAAUGCAUAAAAUUGUGUGGAAUAAAUCAACUUUGUAUUCAUAAAGCAGACAACAAUCAGACAAAUAAAUACAUUCCUGGUGUUCUGCCUUAUUCUGGUAACCGCCGGCACAAAAAAAUGAUUUAUCGGCCGGCGUCUGGUAGACACACCAGGUUUAUUCUUGGCCAAAAUAUCACGUUGUCAUUAGUAAGAUUGAUGUUUCCUCGUAUUAGUCCCGAUCGAAUCCCUCCAGUCGUCCGCAUGCAAACAUCUCUAAUUCGCUGUGAAGACAAGCCGCCCGUGCAAAACUGCAUCAAGUCGAUGUUUAUCUUCUUUAUGGCUCCUGUUUCCUGCUUGUUAGAGUCCAGAGUCGAGGAUUGUUUGACCAAAGCACCCCACAAAACAUCCUCUCGAGUUCCAGGUGAAUCUCCGGAAGUGGUUAAUCCAUUAUGUAUGUUGCUGAAAGCAUCGGGAUUUUGUAUGGAAAUCAUUCCGUAACUUAUGAAUAGGCGGAUAGGGCGCAAGUUUACUUACUUCUUGCUGCGGCAUUAAAGAUGGAUGGCUGAAUCGGAGGAUUCCAAAAGCCACCUAUCGACUGUCCGCCCCCUUUAAUAGUUUAUUGAAACGCGAAGACUUGGGGUCAGAUUUUAUGGAAAGAACGGAUUUAUGGAAAGCGCAAUUUACACACACAAAAAUCGCUCCCCAUUGUUGCGAAAAGCAACUCUAUGGAAACUACAAACUGACACGACUUUGACUACCCAAAUGGAGAAAUACUACAUUUUAAGGAACCCUCAGUCUAGAUUAGUUUUAGAUGGAACACAAACGAUUGUUGCCGCCCGCCAAGUCACCAGGUUCGACACUCAGCUGUGGAAAGUGGAACAUGUGGAGUGUGGAAAAUUUUUCAUCCACAACAAGGCUAACAAAGGAAAAGUUUUAGACAUCGAACGUGAAAGUAAAACAGGAGCCAACAUCUUACUCUGCGAAAAAGAAAAUGGAAACAUAAACCAAAACUGGUACAUAAAUUCCGACGGUUCCAUCGUCUGUGCUAACGGUGAUGAUUUUGCACUUGAUAUUUCAACGGACAGAAAAGUUAAACUUGAACGAAAGACUGGGUACCAAAACCAAAAAUUUGAAUUCUGCAGCAGAGGUGAUAUCUGAAUUAACUACCCAUCUAAGAAUUAAAGUGGAGAUUUGAACCAAGUUUGUUUUAAUAAAAACCGCCACUUUU